AAAAAUGAGUGGUAAUGCAUAUUAUCUGCCUGUAAGAUUCACUCUCUUUGGAUCGGUCUUGCUGCCCUCAUUCUGGUAAACAUUUCUGAUACUGGGAGGAGUAAAAUCUUAGGUUUGAGAUCUCUUUCAAGUCAAACUAAUCAUGGCGGUUAGCUUGGCUUUGUGAUUCAAUGGAUGCAAACCUGUGUGCAGAGUCACAAAUUAGUUAUACUGAAUUAGGCUCUUAGUUUUUUUAUUUUCUUUUUGAGAUUUUAAUUAUCUUUUGUCUCAAGGAGUGAAUAUCCCACAGACCAAACAAGAAGGUGAGCGAGAAGACGAUGGCCCACUCCAUUCCUCAAACCAAACAUGCCAUAACAACAUGCUUUCAAAAAAUACCUGUCUUUUUCAAAUUCUUAUUUAGAAAUUAGAUCAUGUUGCUUUUGCAUCACAAGAAAAAAAAUUAGCCAUGAUUAUUGGCCCUGAAAACACCGAACCAUAAGCAUCAUUGUGUCCCAUCUCACCUCAGCAUCCCAGAUAAAACCAUGAAGAUAGACAUAAGAAAAUGAUACUGAUCCUAUGAACUCAAUUCCCAUCAUGACCAUUUGUGCAAACCAGAAGAACAAAAUAUCAUGGCUGUGAAGGAAAGUGUCAGGCAUCAAUGUAAAGAACAAAACCUUGACAACAACGCAAGUAUUAAUCCACUGAAAGAAGAAACGAUAAAUCAAUCUGUUGCCAAAAGUAACAUACCCUUUCUCCAGAACAGUUGAAGGAUAAAAAUGCUUAUAAUCCUCCUUGGAAAGAUCAUGCCAACCAAGCGUGCUAAAAGGCCAUAGAGCACUGCAGGACAAUAACAACAAUUGAAAAUAACAGAAACUAUAGUGCCUUUUUUGACAGGUAAAAAAUCAGUGAAUCCAACUAUGGUAUUGAAACUGUAUAUUUCAACAGAAAAGGAAGGGACAGGUGAACCACCAAUUACAAGAAAAAGCAAAAGAUCAGAGAAGGGAACAAAACACAUUGUUCAAGUGACCAGCAAAAGGAGCAAGAUCUUCCCAAGGAAUUUGUGCGAUUGUCGAUAUGUUUGUCUAUCAUCCAAAAUUAUAUAUCGAUUCUUUAGAAAUAAUAUGUACGAUGUUAUAAUGUUUGUUCGACAUUAGUUCAUUCUAUUUGAGUCAGUCUAUCUAUAAUAAUAUUGCAUAUUUAUAUUGUCAAUAUAAUAUUAGUGUUAUGGUGAUAUUUUGCCACACGGACUUCUGUAGUUUGCUUUGUUCAUUAGCCAAACAACAAGUAUUAUCAGUUUUCAACUUAUUUUACAAAAUAACUAAUGCUAAAUGCUGAUGAGAAAAAUUCAGUUCCAACUUAUCCUCCGUGCUCCCUUUUAGAAUAUGAAAUUAUCUGACAGAGAAUACUCAUUUUUUAACAGUGCAAAAUCUUUUGCUAUUUUAUAUCUCAGAAUGUGAAUACUUAUGUUUUCUAUAAUGAUCAUGGGUCAUUUUGACUACCCUGGGAAAUUCGGAGCUGUGUUCGCCUCAAUUCCUGGACCCAUCUUUGCAGCUCUAUAUUGUCCAACAAAAGAUUUGAUCAGUGUGAAGGAUAGGGCCCGCGUGAUGUACGCGAAGGACAAGGAGGAGUGGGUGCUGAUUCACUCCACGACGAUCUCCGGCUUGAAGGGAAGGACAAGGCAUGCCAGCAUGAUGAAAAAGAGGUAGAAGGAAAGCAAAAUGCAAAGACUCAAGAAAAAGAAUUCCAAUCACUAGAUUAAAGAACUACCAGGGAGACCGAGGAAGGAAGAAGGAGCUAAGGAGAUAGGCCGCAUCGGGAACAACAUCGCCGUUCUCAUCCACCCCCUCGACGACGCUAAGGUACAAGAAGAGGAUGAAGCACACACCUUCUUCCCCUGGUCCUAUUACAUCCCCGCUAGUCGGAUCUCUCGCUCCACCGUCGCUGCCAAAUGACACCACGUGCUCUCCC
Zea mays is the source of this 1947-nucleotide long non-coding RNA. RefSeq lists it as uncharacterized. The transcript has 3 exons. The record is from RefSeq and is a predicted model, not a curated record. NCBI's taxonomy places the organism in Eukaryota, Viridiplantae, Streptophyta, Magnoliopsida, Poales, Poaceae.